AUAGCGAAAUAAAAUUUUCAUUGAGAAAAAGGGACUCCGAGAAUACGUGUUUCUGUGUACAACUGGCCGAAAUAUUCGACUAACGGGACUCUAUGAAAUCGCUAAAUCGCGCACACGUGCGGUGAAAAUCAGUGUAUUUUCCACUCCGAGAAAGAUCCAAGCGCUCUUCAUGGAACGGGGACUUCAGGAAGACGGUUAUUUAUUGGCCGCGCGGACCUCGAGUCGAAAUCCUAUUCAUGAUAGGUGCUUUAAUCGCAACGUGAUAUCCCAUCCUAUCCGCACAUCGGUAGAUACAUCCUUGGCUGGGCGACAUCGGGUUUCAUAAAUAAAGCCCCAUUGAUGAGAAGUUCGCUGAGGGAUGGGGUAGCAUGACCUGCUGACCCAGAUUUUCCAUGACUUGCGUCAUUCACAAUUUCUCCCCACCGUGUGCCUCGGCAACUACACGCAUCUAAAAUAGUGGAGCGCACAAAGGAAAGUGGCGAGAGAGUGAACGGAUGAUGGUCGCAGGCCAGACAACGGGAGAAUCGCAAAUUGAACGCAUCCUCGACGCAAGCAACCUCCGGGACUGCCACGAUAACCGACGACUUUUGCUUCUCUUUGAAGACAGUGCUCGCGUUCGCAUACCGGGUUCGCUCGACUGCAUCGAAUUCUUCCUGCGCUGAUCGCCGUCGUGUCAUCCUCAGCAGCUAAGUGUCGAGUGUUAGACUUCGCGGUGUCCGAGAAUCUUUCGCUGCGACCAUUCGGGAACCUAUAACGAACUCACAAAGCGUAUAUCGGGGCGAUAAUUUUCGAGUUCGUUCGCAUGAACUUCGAACUCCCAGACUUGCCUCUCUCCCCCGCGCGAUUCGAUCGCGAGUCGCGCUUGAGGUAAGUCAACGGUAAACCAGAGCGACAGGAGAAAGUUCAACCGCGCGCCGAAAUGGACCCGUGAUGAGCCAUGGUGCGCCCUCGCUGCUGCCUAGCAACUAUCCCCGGGGUCAAUGGGAUACGCGCACAUGGGAGAAUCUGGGUCAACCUGCAGGACCUUCAACGGAACCUCCUCCUUGGAACGGAGCCUCCUUGAAACCUCCCAUCGCCUUGCAGCGCAAGGAUACAUGCGAAGGAUGUAUGCACUAUAGGCACCGGAAUUUUCUCUCGACAGUCAAGAACGCGGCCAACAUUGACCUUUCAGAUAUUUACGGGCAUGUUCUAUUUAUACGUAAAGGUCGAUAAUUUGAUAUCGCGCCACCGCCGUCGAGAAAGUAGCCGGUGCUAAAUGUACAUUCUCGAUCCGAGACGUAUUAUCGGUCCCUUACGGGCUCUCGCCGCAUCACGCUACAAUUUUUUGAGAACGUCUACCCGUUGAACUCCAGUAAACGCUCGUCGAAUAUUUUCGCACCUCCACUACCUUCUGUGACCUCGCUCUCCCUGGCGCAAUGAGUUCACUGGCCCUCGGUUGCAAGGGUGUUUCCCUCUGACGUCACCGACUACCCGCGCGUCAUCGAGCGCCGCUGCCUGUGACAUUGAGCGCAUCUAGCACUGCUACCGCUUGCUAAGUGCUCAGUCAGCCUUUAGAUCUUAUUGGUCUGUACCCUUAGAUCUUCAUGAAAUUCGAAAGUACAUAUGAAGCAGUUCCAAAAAUUCACUGAAUACUUAUAGUAAUGUAUUGGACACCUGUGAUUGGGUGUAUUUUUUCAUAUCUGACAAAGAUCUAAAAAUAUAAUUUAUAUUAUAUUCAAGUUAUAUAUUCAA
RNAcentral lists this long non-coding RNA (1731 nucleotides) under Harpegnathos saltator (Jerdon's jumping ant). Its description in RNAcentral is "uncharacterized LOC112589703". The record is from RNAcentral. Lineage: Eukaryota; Metazoa; Arthropoda; Insecta; Hymenoptera; Formicidae.